This is a long non-coding RNA of Cavia porcellus (domestic guinea pig), 2729 nucleotides long. RefSeq lists it as uncharacterized. The record is from RefSeq and is a predicted model, not a curated record. The transcript is spliced from 3 exons. Lineage: Eukaryota; Metazoa; Chordata; Mammalia; Rodentia; Caviidae.
UUGAUUUCAUUUAUAUCUCUUUGCUUCUGCUUUAUGUAUUGUUUGUUUCUUACAUUGUUCAUCCAGGGAUUCUACCUUUUUGUUUAGUUCCUCCAAUUUUUUAACUGUGUUUUCUUUAGAUAUGUUCAGCAUCUCUUUCUUUUCUUUUAUCAUUUCUUCUUUCACCUGAGUAUUUCUAGUUUGAAGUCCUUUAAAGCUUCCCAGAGUUGCUUCUUUAUUUCAGUUGCUCUUAUUUCAGGUAUUUCAGGUGUAUGGCAUAUGGCAUAUAUUUUCUUCUAUGUGCAUAACUCCUAAGGUUUCUUGGGAUGGACUGGAGGUUUGAGAUUGUAUUGUGUUCUUUUGUUUUGUCAUUUUCCUAUAUUUCUGUGUUUCAAGUGUUUUUCCAAGGCUUUCCCAGGGCCUGUUGGAAAUCCUCUUCUAUGCCCUCAGCUCUUGGGACUCUGGCCACCCUGUUCUCUGGAUUGAGAGAGGGUCACUGGGGAUGGGGCAGGCAGGCCCAAGCCCUGCGGGGCAGGUUGAGUGUGGCAGGGAGCUGUGAAGUUCCUUGGCUUGUGGGGGCAGUGAUCUCAAACUCUUGAGUUUGGGAUGGUGCAGGGACACUCACCUGAGGCAGCCCAGUUUCCAGAAUUGAGGGUGCAGGCAGGCCAAAUCCCCAGAGUCUGCCAACCAUGGUAGGAAGCUGGGAAGUUGGUGCAGGCAGGCUCAAGACCUGCUGAGCUGGUACAGGAGGAAGCCAUGAAGUUCCUGGCGAAGGUGGGAGCAAGGAUUUUAAACUCCUGAGACUUGGGGCUCAGGGGAUAGUGUGGGGAUACUCACCUCAGGCUGCCCAGUCUCUGGAAUUGAGAUUCCCUUAUGUUUAAGAAACUAUUUAAACUCUAUAAACAUCCUAACCCUAUUAAAUAUCUUUUACUCAAGUCGCAAACAAAAGUGAAACUUGCUAUCAUUAGCAAGAUUAUCAGGAAACAAAAUGAUAACGUAUUUUGCUAUUAAUCACAUAGACUUCUUCCCAGUGUCAUUUGAGAUAUAGUUUAACUCCACCAGUAUUGCAAUAGUGUUUUCUAAUUGUUAGGGACUAUAAUCCUGGAAAGAUAUUUUUAUUUAUUUUACCAAUUUAAAGUUCACAUACAUGGAUAUUCCGUUUUGUAAAUUACUGUAACAUUUUCAUUCAGCGAUGAUCUGGCGGAUAGACAUGUAGUUUUUAAUAUAAAUAUAAAAAUGUUUACAAAGGAGAUAGCACAAUUCAAAGCUUUCAAAACCAUAAAAUCAGUCCUUAAUAAUUACUCUCAUUUGACUGUUUCUGUAAAGCAAGCCAGUCAGAUGUUAGUGGCCAUGAAAUGAAUGUUUUAAGUAAAAUUAUUUCAUAAUUUUGAAUUAUUUACCAGUGAGUUGUUAGAAUAGUUCUGGAUACUAUACUUCAAAUUAUAUCCAUUCUUUAAUAGGAAAAUUAAGCCAUACAUGCAAAACUAAAUAUCCUUUAUUUUCCUUUGUGUGCAUUUGAUAGCUCUGUGUGAAGAGCAUAGUUUUUCCACACAUUCCUCUUUUCAAUCCUUAAAAUUCUAAGCAGUUGACAAAACUACCACAAUAAUUAAACUCUUUCAUAAUCUAUGUUUGACCUUUGAAUCCUGUAAUAACAUAUGUUUUACACUUACAUUCAAUGAAAACAUUCAAUUUUUUUCUAUUUUUCCCUCUAGUAUAAACAGAAUGCCAUCAAGUUAUCAAGAAUUCACCAUGAAACCACGCAUUUUGGAAUUCCACACAGGAACAGAUCAGGAUUAACAAUAACCUGGUUUUUCUGAAUUCUGCAGUGAAUUCAUAUGGGCCUGGGCUCUUCUUUGUAGUAUGCCAUAGAGGAAUCACAACCAACUAACUUCGAGGCACAGUCACCCAGCAUCUACAUCAACUUCAAAAGAAAAGAAGAAACUGCUGAAGACCUGCUUGGCAUUGUACAAGCAGUCAAUAAGCAAUAUUAAUGAGUUGGUAUAAGAAUAAAUAUACAGUCUGUCCUGGGCCCAGAUGACUUGUGCCAAGACCACUGGCUGGGUUAAGGACGUAGCUUAUAAUCUUUAAGCCAAUGGUCAGAUUCCAGGCUAGAAAACAAUCUGAAUUUCUUGUGUCCCAAACAAGAUAACAUGAUCACUGAGGACUUUGAUUCCUUCAAAAUCUUUCUAGUUCAACAAUUUCAAUUUGCAGAAAAUCAGAUUACUAGUUAAUACUGCUAUUUCUGUGUGAUUUUCCAAAAUGCAUGCUUUCUCAGUUCUUGCACCUUGACUGCUUCAGCAGUUCACCUCCACUGCUUCUUACAAUCCAACAGUACAUCUCGCAGUGGAGCUCUACACCUAACAAAAGCCAAAGACACCGUGCCUUAUGGUCCAGACCAUCACUGGGCUUUGACCACCCUGGUGCUCCUUGUAAUUAAAGUGUAUAUUAUAUCUGAGUUUUAUUCUGUCAUCAUACCUCUGAGUAGAAGAUCAGUGGUCCUAGACCAGGGUCUCUACAAUGUUUUCUUCUAGUUUUUUUUACAUUUCAAAUUUUAUGUUGAAUGUUUAAUUUAUUGAAGCUUAUUUGUUAAACAGUGUGAAUUAAUUCUAUUUCUUUAUUUCACUGGUGGAUGUACAUCUUCUUUCAUCAGAAUUUUGUUGAGGACACUCUUCUUACUCUAUGGUGUACACUUGGAAACAUUGUUUACAACCAGUUGAGCAGAAAUAUAUAAAUUUUUUGUGUUCCACUAA